Long non-coding RNA from Homo sapiens (human), 7369 nucleotides. RefSeq lists it as uncharacterized. Lineage: Eukaryota; Metazoa; Chordata; Mammalia; Primates; Hominidae. The transcript has 6 exons. The record is from RefSeq and is a predicted model, not a curated record.
CUGCUGUGGGAACCCGGGUAGUUGACGGGGGCUCAUUCUCUGAGGUGGGAGAGAGGAGCAGACGGGGAAGGCAGUGAGUUCAGCCCUGUACCCGACAUGUGGGGCAGAGCUCCUGCUUUCUGGGGGUUCUGUGGCCUUCUCUGAGUGACGCCCACACAUGCACAUACACACCUACUUCCCCCAGUGCACCUGGGCUAUUCCCCAGCUUGGCAGCUGAUGGGAAGAAUCAGAAAGGGUCUGGAGGGCAGUGGCUGCAUCCUGCUUCAGCCCGAGCUCUACCUUGACCAGUAAGUCCUGAGCCCCGGCCAUUUCCGGGCUGUCCCCGGGCCUGGUGGGAGGAGGAAGACAUGGCCACCAUUCUAUUAGAGGCCUGGCUGUGGCCAAGCUCUCUGAGGGACAGGAGCCUGUAGCACUGGACUUGGUGGCCCAAGCCCCCGCCACCGGUGGACAGACGUGUACCUCAGAAUCCAGAACUCAGGUCCCAGCACUCUGUUCUAGCAUUUGAGGCAGCCUCAUCCUAAAGCCUGGAGUCCCUCCUCACCUCAGCCUUGGGCCCCUCUGGCUGGAUCGCAGGGUGCUAGCGUCUUCCUCUUGGCAGAAGGCCAAUGGAACCCCAAGAGGCGCUCUCUCUGCCCCCUCUUUUCAGCCUCUCUAAGUGUCCCUCCUCCAUGCCCACUGCAGAGCAGCCCCCGUCUGAUUUGCUGGGUCAUCCUUGUCCCCUUGGAGCCUCAGUUUCCUCACCUGUCCAUGGCAGAGCCAUAGUGGGGGAAGUCCCCAUGAUGAGGAAGGGGCACAUUCCUCAGAACAGGGGCAUCUCUUGUCCUCCUGUCGGGGUCCCUGCCUGCAGUGUGGGGGGCCGCCUAUGAGAAGGCUCUGUGGGCCCCUCCUCUGGGGCCCUCCCUGGCAGGCGGCCAGCAGUUCUUCUAGGCUGAAUGAGUUAUUUUGAAGCCAAUGUGGGAGGUGGAUUAAUGAGCAGUUGGCUCUGGAACUGUGAUCGGUGCCAGCCCCCAGCUCCCACCCUUGUGCCCACUGGCUCUGGAAAUGCCACCGAGCAUGGGCCUCCCUCCCCAGGGCUGAGCAGCAAGAGGCAGGCUAGGAGGCCCACUGUCCUGUCUCACCCAUCUCCCAUCCUCAGGCCUCCGGGGCAGGAAGGGGCGUGUGGUGGUUCUUCUCAGGUCAAGCCGAGCUCCUAGCGGGCCAUCCUUGAGAGUCCCCAGCAGGACUUCGAGGCCCCUCCGAGGCUGCCCCAGUUCUCUGCUCUGGGCACAGUGCGUUGGUUGUCCAACAUUCCUGUGAAUCUUUAGCAGCAACAAAAGUUCGGAGCCCUUGCCUGCCACAGCCAGCCGCAUUCCAAGAGGGACAUGCAGCUGGGGUUCCUGCUCCCAUUUAGCACAUGAGGAGCAGGCGCAGCCAGUCACACAGCCAGGGGGUGGGGGAGUCCAGGAACCCAUCUCCUGUGCGUGCCCGUCUACCAUGACGCUCCCUCAAGCCACAAAUGCUCCCUCCUCCCUCUCUCUCCCCGCCUCCCCGUCCUCCUCCUCUCACUCCUUCCUCUGUGGCCCUCAUGCUUGCUCUGUCCCCCUUCUGAUGACCCCAAAUCCUUUCCACCCUCUUCCCAGGGUUUCCUCCCCAUUGGGCCAUGACCUCCACAAAAGCAGUGGCACAACAGACCCAUCUCAGUCACCCCAGCAUCCAGCACAGGGCUGGUCACAGCAGCAUCCACAACUGUCCACUGUCCACUGAGUGACCAAGUGAAUGAAUGUGUGCAGCCCAGUGCGACCCGGAGCUCCCUUCCAAGCAAUCUGUUCCUCCGGCUUGCAUGCCUCUGGCUGUGGGAAGCUCACUUCCUUAUGAAGAAUCCGUUUCCACCUUUAGAUGGUUCUGUCCAUCUGGAAGGCUGGCCUUAUGUCUUUAUUUCCAGCCACCAUGAGAACAGAAGGUCUCUGGAGUGGGGACCUCAUCUCUAACCCUGGAGCCUUCCACAGGGCCUGGUACACAGGCAUUAAUAACUGUGUGCCCAAUGACAUCAUCCCCAUCCCCAUCACCAUUCUCUUCAUAGAGGCAGAAGAGCCAUGAAGCGGCUAAAAACCAGGCCUCUGGGCCAUACUGUCGGGCGCUGGGGCUGAAUCCGGGACUCAACCAGUGUUUCCAAGCAGCCUCAGAGAUAGAAGCAGGCAGGGCUGAGAACGCUGAUUCCCCACUGCUCAAGCAGGCAUCUUGAUUUUGCCCAGAAUUUAGGCUUUUUCUCUUAAAUCUUUCUCAUUCCCCUGUAAACACAGAAUCCCUUCAGGAUCUGCAGGGGAAAGGAAAUUCAUGUAUAAUGAACAUCUCCUGUGUGCCUCGUGAGUUUGUUUGCUCUUCCUAACAACCCCAUGAUUGAAGCCCCUGCUUUACACAUGAGGAGCCUGAGGCUCCUCAGAGAGGCUGAUGCACUUGUUCAAGGACACACAGCUGGGAGAGAUGAACCUGGGACUGCACCUCAGUGCUGUGCGACCCCAGGAUCUUGGGGUUUGGAACUGGAGGAGUUCUGUGGAAGUUGGAGCCAGCAUGUUCUGUAGAGCCAGAAACAGGCUUUGGCUGCCCCUGAAGCCUGAUCCAAAGGUAGCGAGUUCCUCCACUGGAGGAUACCAACAACAUGCCGAGUAAGCUACCACGAAGCCUGUGCAGUUGACACGUGUUGGCUCCGUUCCAACAACUUUAGGAGGAGGGAACCAUGCUCAGCCCUAUUUACCCUGAAGAAAUGAAGACUGAGAAGUCAGUGGAAGGCUCUGGGACAGAGUGGAAUGAAUAUGCAGUGGAAGUAGUCAUUACAGCAGUUCCAAUGCGUGCGUCACUGCUUACGUGGGACACCGCAGUGGUGUAGCCAACCCUGGGCUCAGGGUGCUGCAAACAACACUCCACUUAAUGUUUACAGCAACCCAAGGAAAGCCAGUGCCAUUAUUGUAGCCAUUCUCCAGAUGUAGAAAUGGGUUCAGAAAGGUUAAGUAAUUUGCACAAGGUUACACAGCUUGUCAGUGGCAAAAAAAUGACAGUCACAUGACCGACUUCAAGCCCCACGAGAAAUCCCCAGCCGAUGGGGCUGCUGCUUCUGAGAUGAAGCAACUGUGAGCCUCUGUCAGGGUCAGGAGCCCCAGUCCUCUUUCUAGGGCCACUUGUGACGUCCCCAUCCUUGUGGGCCUCAGCAGAAGGGAGAGUAUCCCUGGGGAUGUCCUCUGGCCAUUUCAAGGACAAAUUGUAGAAGGCUCUCGGUUUGAGGGGCCAUCUUUCCUGUGACCGUCUCUGGCUCUCACAGGUGCAAAGAAUCACCCUUUCAAGAGGGUCUUUGGAUCUAGAACCUUCCACACUCCUCUCCCAUCUGAUCAGCCAUACCACUCUGAAAAAGCAAUCUGAAGGAAAUAUUUUAAAAUUUGAGAACAGCUUUUGGCACAAAGGUAUGCAUCACAGCUUUGUGCAGAAUAGCAGGAAACAAUUUUCAGAUUGUGAGCCAUGGGAUCAGCCUCUUGGAGGAGAAAGAACUUAGAAUGAAAGGGAAAUGCUCAUGAAAUCUUACAUGUACUGAGCAGGAGACGACAGAGCACCAUCUAAAGCACAGGGGUAAGCAAAGGAACAAAAGGAUGUCAGCGAAUGUCGAGGACGCUUGGGGUGAGACAGAGCUGGGGACUUUUCUAUGUUUUUUCCUUAUUGUCAUAUUUACCAAGUUUAUUUAAACAAGCAUUACUUUUAUAGUGGGUCAGUGGGGAGAGAGAUAGAGAGACCUCUAUUUUAUGCAACUAAAACCGAAACUGCUUCUGGAUGCAGACAAGAACCAGGUGUGCCACCAUGGCCAGGGUGCAGGCUCUCCCACUGCCAGAUCCUGUGAGGCUGACAGAUGUUGAAUUUUCUAAUGCUGCCCUUCUCUGAGGAACACUGGACAUCUCAGUUAAAAAUGUUGUACCUGGGUUGCCAGAAAUUCUUUCCAAAGCACUUACAGUCUUACCUCAGGCUUGGCUGUGGGGCGUCUUGGCAGUUCUUUUGCCUGCAACUCUUGCACGUAUUUUCCAAAGCACAGAAUCGUUUUUAGUGGAAGUAGUAGCUUUCCCCUAUAGGAUCUUCAGCGCAAGGGCUGGGGAAAAGGUGGGCAGUGGGUGUGGCAUUUCAGCUGGCUGAUGUCCAUAUUCACAUGAAGGGAGUUCAUCUGAUCCAAUGGGCUUGACCAGGGAAUUUAAUUAUUAUUUGGGUGUACCAGGGCUGAGGGCCCUUUCCAAGCCAGGCCAAGUCUGCAAUGUCCCCUGUGGCCAGGGGAGCCCCGAAGGUCCAGAGACCAAGGAAGGAGCCCAGAGCAGGCCAGGGUAGCCCCUGGUCCUGGGUCUCUUGUGCCCCCAGAUGCUGUUUCUCCCCAGCUGGAGCUGGUCUGCUGAGGGCCUUCAGGAAUCCUCCAGGGGUGCCCAGCACAUCAAGAGAGCAUCUCACUCUGGGCGCCUGUGUCCUUAAUCUUCAUGGGACCAUGCCCGUGAGAAGGUGGAGGACCCUUCAGCACAGCCGCUGCCUGCCCCUGGGUGGGGGCUGAUCCUGAGGGUGGGUCUUUGGAAUGGAGCAAGUAGAGGUGAGGAGUGAGGGGGAAGGGGGUGUGCUCUAUCCUGUGCUUUGUGAUGAACUCCUAGCCCCAUCCGAGGGAGGUGAAAACUGAGGCUUGGUACAAGAGACUUUCCCAAGAUCAUCCAAUCUGCAGCAGAGCCAGAAACCCAGGACAUGAGGUUUCUCAGGGGGCAUCAGGACCCCCAAGUGCUCACUGUGGAAGGUUCUUCCAAAGCCUCCUUCUGGUCCUAGAUGGGCCCAUCAUAGAGAAGGAAUAGUGAGUCAGCUCUAGGCAGUGUGUACACUGGAAAGAACAUGGGCUCUGGAAUCAGAUAAACUCGGUUUCUACUGUGUGAUCUUGGGUAAGUCACUUAACGUCUCUGAGCCUUCCAUUUUCUGUAGCUGGACACCAAUACCAACCUCAUGGGGUUAGUUUGAAGCAAAGGAGCUUUCCUGGGAAUGACAGGGAAAGAGAAGUCAUUGACACCAGGGGAUACUCAGCCGGUCUCAAUGCAGGACAGAUGCUCCCAGGACACACCAGCGGGAGGUGCCCCCUGCCGGGGUCUGGAGGGCAGGACCAGCAUGCCUCCUCCCCUGAAACCUCUGCGCCUGACAUUGCCUGGCACGAGGCAGGGGCUUGAUAAGUGUCCGCUGGUCAAAUGGAGCGGAUCUGGCAAGGGGCCAGCCCCAUUCCUGGUGUUCUCCCUGCCUUCCUGGCUCUGGAGCCCCCUCCUGCUCCGAAGGCUCCGCUCUGCCAUAAGCCAGGUCCCUACCCUGCCCUGUGUGGCUCAGGAGACGUGGACAUCCCCGAGCUGGUCCAGAUGCCUGCACCCCUGCUUUGCUCCUGGGGGAGGACUUUGCCUGUUUCUCAUGGACGCUUACACCGUGCCAGAGGCUGGGCCUCACCUGCACGAUCCCGUUAAUGCCUCGCAACCCCACAGGGCAAGCGCCUUGAGGAUCUUCACUCUACAGAGGUGGCAGCUGGAGCUUUGGAGGAAAGGAGUUGCUGCUGCGGACUGAAUUGUGCCCCUGCUGCCCCCACAUUCAUAUAUGGAAGCUCUAACCCUCUAUGUGACUAUAUGUGGGACGCGGUCUUUAGGAGGUAAUGAAGGUAAAAUGAGGUCAUAAUCCCACAGGACCGCGGCCUUAUAACAAGAGGAAGAGGGACCGGAACGCUCUCUCCAUGUGAGUGUACAGGGCAGGCCAGGAGGAGGGCCCGCUCCAGAAAUGGCCCCGCGCCAGGCUGCCCAGCCGCCACCGCUGGGAGAAAUGAGUUUCUGUUGCGAGCUGCCAAGUCUGCAGUACUGUGUUAUGGCCGGGGCUGACCGUCACUCACCCAAGGUCACACAGAGAGGAGCAACCAGGAUUCAAGCUCAGUCUGUUCUUGAGAACUCAGGCCUGUUCAUGACCCCACAGUGGGUCUCCUGUGCUAGGGCUGUGCCUCAGUAGCCGGGUCUGUGGAGUGGGUGGCUUUUUUCUGCCCUGCUCCAGGGUCAUGAAGCCUGAGUAACCUCUGACUCACCUCAGGCUCGGCAGGCUCCCUGCUGGCCAUGGGGCCAUUUCUGCUGCUGCAGCGCCCCCUGCUGGCCCAGACCACGUCUGCCUUGUGCCUGUCCCCUGGAGUUCGUUCCCCUCCCUCCAGAUCUGGCUCUCCAAGCCCUGCCCCUUCCGUGCCAUCCCUCAGGUUCUGCAGGGCACUGGCCACUUCUGCACAGCCAGGCCUUCCCACCCUACCCCCGAGAUUCACACAGCAGGGUCCACUCCCUCCCAGGCUUGGCUUCCCCAGGCUGAGGGCUGGGCAUUGGCACCCUUCCACAGACCACAUGAGUCAGCUCCCUCCCCACCCAACAAGGCCAGUGCUGGCUCUGUCUGAGGUCCCUUUGUUCAGGUCUCUUCUGAAGAAAGGCACCAGAGGCUCCAGCUCUGGCCAUAAUGCCCCAGAUGAAGCUUGACAGGAGAACUGGACACAACAGGCCAGAAUAUGCAUUCCAGGAGAGCAGGGAUAUUUGUUUUGUUCCCCGAUGUAUCCCCUGGAUCUAGCACAGGACUGGCAGGAACCCCAGAUUCUUCUCCAUGGUCGGAAUCAUUGCAAAAUAACUGACGGAGUUUCACCAUGUUGGCCAGGAUGGUCUCUGUCUCUUGACCUCGUGAUCCGCCCGCCUUGGACUUCCAGAGUGCUGGGAUUACAGGCAUGAGCCACCACGCCCAGCCUUGUUUUUGUAUAUUUUGUAGAGACAGGUCUUACUAUGUUGCCCAGGUUUGUCUUGGAGCUCCACUCCAAGGUGGAGCUCAAGCGAUCCACCUGCCUCAGCCUCCCAAAGUGCUGGGAUUACAGAUGUGAGCCACCAUGCCCAGCCUUCAUGGGUUUCCCUAGGAUCACCAGCUGUCAUGGACUGAUUUGUGUCUCUCCAAAUUCAUAUGUUGAAUACUUAACCUGCCAUGCGAUUGUGAUUGGAGAUAAUUCCUUUAGGGAAGCAAUGAAGGUUAAAUGAGGUCAUAGGUGGGAGCUUAAUCCAAUGGGACUGGGGUCCCUACAAGAAGAGGAAGACACCAGAGCUCUCUGUCUCCACACACAGAGAAAAGAGGCUGUAUGAGGACACAAGAGAAGGUAAUAGCUGUCUACAAACCAAGAAGAGAAGCCUCUCCAGAAAAUGAACCCUGCUGGAACUUGGUCUUGGACUUUCCAGCCUCCAGAACUGGGAGAAAAUAAAGUUCAAAAUAAAGUUCUGUUGUGUAAGCCCCCGAGUCCAUGGUAUUUUGUUAUGGCAGCCCUAGCAGACUAAUAACACCUGCUAAUUAAACUGCUUGUUCUCCA